RNAcentral lists this unclassified non-coding RNA (670 nucleotides) under Scedosporium boydii. Its description in RNAcentral is "sequence contains 18S rRNA gene, ITS1, 5.8S rRNA gene, ITS2, 28S rRNA gene". The stretch from base 211 to 364 matches the Rfam family "5.8S ribosomal RNA". The record is from RNAcentral. Lineage: Eukaryota; Fungi; Ascomycota; Sordariomycetes; Microascales; Microascaceae.
GUAACAAGGUCUCCGUUGGUGAACCAGCGGAGGGAUCAUUACAGAGUUACUACUCCAAAACCCAUUGUGAACCUUACCUAUGUUCUGUUGCCUCGGCGGCGUGGUCAGCGCCCCCUCUGAAAAGAGGACGAUGCCCUCCCGCCGGCAGCACCAAACUCUUGAAUUUUACAGCGGAUUACAGUUCUGAUUUGAAAAGAAAAAACAAGUUAAAACUUUCAACAACGGAUCUCUUGGUUCUGGCAUCGAUGAAGAACGCAGCGAAAUGCGAUAAGUAAUGUGAAUUGCAGAAUUCAGUGAAUCAUCGAAUCUUUGAACGCACAUUGCGCCCGGCAGUAAUCUGCCGGGCAUGCCUGUCCGAGCGUCAUUUCAACCCUCGAACCUCCGUUUCCUCAGGGAAGCUCAGGGUCGGUGUUGGGGCGCUACGGCGAGUCUUCGCGACCCUCCGUAGGCCCUGAAAUACAGUGGCGGUCCCGCCGCGGUUGCCUUCUGCGUAGUAAGUCUCUUUUGCAAGCUCGCAUUGGGUCCCGGCGGAGGCCUGCCGUCAAACCACCUAUAACUCCAGAUGGUUUGACCUCGGAUCAGGUAGGGUUACCCGCUGAACUUAAGCAUAUCAAUAAGCGGAGGAAAAGAAACCAACAGGGAUUGCCUCAGUAACGGCGAGUGAAGCGGC